This is a long non-coding RNA of Gopherus evgoodei (Goodes thornscrub tortoise), 4985 nucleotides long. RefSeq lists it as uncharacterized. The transcript has 4 exons. Lineage: Eukaryota; Metazoa; Chordata; Testudines; Testudinidae. The record is from RefSeq and is a predicted model, not a curated record.
GGUUUUAUGUAGAGAGAUUAUGAUAUUAGGAUACUUUCUGUCUUAUCUAUCCCUUUCCUAAUCAGAGCUAGCACAGGUACGUCUACCUGAGCUGGAAAUUACAUCUUCUAGCUACAGUGCAGACAUAACAAAACAAAUGCUUUCACCCUCUUCUGCCACCAUCAAUUAACAAUAGAGCGAGUCCAAAUUUUUUUAAUAACCGUUUGGUUCAGCACUAGGGGGAGAGGUUUAAAUAAAAAAGAAUUCACCAGUUUUACCCCCACAAAAUACUUGCAACCAGUUUUAUCAAAAAUGAAAUAGUUGUUACAAUUUUUAGUUCAGCCCAAACUGGAUAUUUUCAUAAAUGAACAUUUUAAUAUCAUUUUAAAUAAAAAUGUAGAGUACAUCACGUAUGAAAAAAAAUUAAACGUCCACCCUGCAAAAAAAUGUAAAAUGCUGUGGAACUUCAAACACCACAAAAAACUUUUCCAAUCAGGUCUAGUUACCAAUCUGUUGGCAGCCAGGACGGGCAGGAAGUCUGUACGUGACAUGUUGGGAUUGGAUGCAGAGCUGUAUCCUCAGCCUAGCAGGAGCUGCACCAGUCGGUGAAGUAUGCCUGCUGUACCCUGCUAAAACGUGAGGAAGGCUCAUUUGUUAUGCAAAUGUCUACUUGAGCCUGGCAUGUGCAGUGGAAAGCUCUUUGAAUUAUUUUAAGCAAAGGACAAAAGUUUGUUCCCCUCCCCUAUCAUCUUGGAUCUUUGAACAAACAAAAUAAUAAUUAAAAAAAGAAAGCUCUAGCUGUGUGAACCCUCUGAAGAAGAUACGCCCUCUGCUUUCCUGGCAAGAGUCUAUACAGCCAGGGAUACACAAGCAGUUGAAAGAUAGAACAAUUACAGAACUGUAUUGGAGGUGGGUCUAGGUUUCUUUUUCAUAAUGGCAGCACAAACUAGUCAUCCUAUAGCUUUAUCUCCAGGAUUAUGCUGGGGCAGAUGGCACAUUUUAAAGGGAUAUUCCAGUGCUAACAGGAAGACAGUCACUUCCUGACUGCACAUACACUGUGUACCCACCUAAACGUUUCCCAGUUUGCUUCUUGUUUGAAAUGAGGCUCUCAGGGUGAUGGGGAGAGGUUAGUUUGGACAAAUGAAAAGCAUUGGACUAAAUGUUCCAGCCUUGCAGCCUCACAGCUGCCAACGAUCCACGUUUGCAUGUUGCACCCGCAAUGGGCCCAUUUGCAAACAUGCAGGAAAGAAAUUUGAGUGCCUGAGUUCCGUUCUUUUGCGCAGAAGUUCCUUUCUGCCCCAGUAAACUCCUGGUUUGAACAUGCAGAUGAGUGGCUUCUGGAUGCCAUGGUUGCACGUUGUUACUGCUAUUCAUAUAGUGUGAUGAUGGUGCAUGGCAUCUAAAAUUGAUGUCUUUCCCUUUUGGAACAGCUUACAAGCUGUGGGCCUGAUCCCGCUCCCAUUGGACUCAAGAGCAGAGCUACAGCUGAUUACAAAAGGAAUCAAAUAAUGAGGCAAAGGCACCAUCGGAGGCUGCAGCACUGACAAUAUACUUGGAGCUUACGUGCCACAAAAUGAAGGUCGUUCCUGCCCCAGUAACACAUUUACAAACAGAGAAGAUGGACAUUGGGAAGAUCAGCGGCAAGAGGAACUUGGAGUGAUGGAUUCUGUGUGAUUUGUUUCCAUGUCUUUUGGGCAUCAAGGCAGAAGUGAGUCCAUAGACAGUGGCCUGGAGGCUCCAGGGAUGCUAAUGCAGCACUUUUCACCAACACUCUAUAUUAAAAUCAUUAUUAGGUAUCCAUGAAUCAGCAGGAAGCAACAACAAAUGAGUGCAAUGGAAGGGUAUCGAAACAUACCAGACUUUGGGGUUUCAUUCGGUAUGUCCACUUCUAAUCAUAGAAAGGAAAUAAAGGCCAAUGAUUUUCAUUCAUUGUGUGGAAGAGCUAAGCCCAGUUUAAUCAGCCCCAGGUCUAUUCCAUUAUCCUUUUCAUCAAGCAGGUUUUGGGUAUAAUGAAGAUGUGACACACACAAGUGCUGGCAAGGGAGACUGGUGGCAUUUUCUUUUGGCUGGAGUCAGGAAGUAAUGUCAUGUGGCAGGGGUCAAGAUUCCACUGACUCCAAAGCUUUCUGUUACAGGGAGCUAAAUGAUAGAAUAAAAAGGAGUCCAUCUUUUUUGCCUGAUGCUAAGAACUUUGCUCAGUUGGCCAGGUAUGCAAACUAACCAGCUGGCUCCAUGGGCUCAGAGUAGGCUCCAGCUGUCUUCUUGUUAGCAUUCAAAUGAAAUUAUUCUUUCUGUUGCACUAGAGGAUUCAGAUCGCAGAUCCCAGUUUGCAGGUGCAGGGAGUGAUUUUGCUGACUCGGCCUGGUUUCCAGACAACGAGAGUAUCCUCAUCUCAAUUCAGGACCAUGAAAGGCUGGGAAUUUCUCGGAGGUAAGACAGAGCCAAAGGAAAGGGGAACCUGAGUCAGAGAGGUUGGUUUGCAAACAUGCCAAGAACACACAGCUGAAGUCACUGGGAGCUGUGGGUGCUCAGAACCUCUGAAAAUCAUGCCCGAAGUAUCUUACCUUAAACCACAUCAUGUAGAUCCAGAAUUCGCAUUUGAGGCUUCCUGGCUCCCAGCUCCCUGCUGCCGCCUAGAAUUUUAUAUGACCUGUGGAAUUGGCCAAAUGACAUUAUGCAGUAGCCAAAACAGACACGGAAAACAGAAUCCAGUGUUCUCCUUGGCACAUGCCCACUCUGCACUGCCUGAGGCUCCCAGGUACAAACACAUUCUGUGUUCUGCCAUCUUCAGCAGCAUGAUAACACUCCUUUGGCCAAGUCUGGUGAGCUCAGAUCUGGAGGAGGCAGGGGACCAGUGUGAGGAGGAGUAGGGGAAUGUGGGGAAAAAAACAACCCACCAAACGGAGGCAGGGUUUUUGUCUUUCAGAAGCUGCAGACGCAGGCAUCAUUCAGUGCUGUGCCGCUUGGCAUACGUGACGCGCUGUGACAGACCUGGCUCGGCACAUUAAAUAAUACUUUAUUUUUUAACUUGUAAAAAUAAAAUGUGGUCCCGCAAGGAUGAGCCUUGUUAUGCCCAAAGUUGUGCUGGGAGGGUGGCAGCAUGUGGAAAAUGUAACAACAUGGACACUAACAAACACCACUAGCAGUAGGAAUUAUUUUAAGACUUAUCUCACUACACUGGAAACAAGCCACACUUCAGCUCAGACCCUUUGAAGGCCAUUGAGGUUUAUCCAUGGAAGGUUGGUGAUGGGAGAGGGGGAUUUUGUAAUCAUGGCUUUUUAUCUCUGAGCUGCUGGAGGCUAGGAAGACACUUCUCCUUUGGGUAUGCUAGUCCAUAAGUAUAAUUCUUCAGGGUAGGGAGGUUAUACCUUCCUCUGAAGCAUCUGAGACUGGACACUGCUGGAGUCUGGAUUCAAGGCUAAAUAAAGCAUUAUGAUCAUCUCAACAUAUUGACAUAAGCCAAGUCUCACAAGUAGUAGGUGAAACCACAUGUCUCAGCCAAAAUCAUAGCUUAGGUUUUCCUGUGGGACUGACUGAGCUGCGGACUCAGUCCCAAAGAGAGCCUUGCGGUCCUUCAGUUAUCCAAAAAUCCAGAUCCAGCUCAGCUCAGUGAUGAUUUACUGACUGGGUGUCCUUGCGAAAUGAGUUUCAACCUAGCGGGUAGAUGUCCACGUCGCAACGAAACACAAAGCCGUUUUGUACUAACUGGCCGCCCGACUGGUAGUCUCAACUAGGGAGACCAGACAGCAAGUGUGAAAAAUUGGGAGAGGGGGUAGGGGGUAAUAGAAGCCUAUAUACGAAAAAGAUCCAAAAAGCAUGACUGCCCCUAUAAAAUCGGGACAUCUAGUCACCCUAGUCUCAACAGAGAAGCCAAAGACCCAAUGACAAUUCUCUUGUUUAUGGUGUCUGUCCCAGCAUCAUAGGCAUGUUUUCACAAAACGUUUCAGUGAAGGAGAUACUCAGGUCUCUUGCCAAACUUUGAGUCUGAUUUCCAAUAUCCUUUGGUUAGUUUUUUGCAGGCAUGCUCUCUAUAAUAGUAUCUAUUAGUCAUUCUUCAGGGGCAUAAUGUUAUGGCCAGAAGGGACUAUUAUGAUCAUCUAGUCUCAAUUUCUGCAUAAUACAUCCCAGCGAACCUCAUUGAGUAAUUUCUGCAUCAAACCCAUAUUUUCUGGAGGAGCUAGAGCAUAUCUUUUAGAAAGACAUUCCAGUCUUGCCAACAAAGACUUGUAAGGGAUUUGUUUCCAUCUCUUGAACCUUUGGUUAAAUUACUCCAAUGGUUAAUUACCCUCACUGUUAAAAAUUUCCCCUUAUUUCUAGUCUGAAUUUAUCUAGUUUCAGCUUCCAAACACUGGAUGGUCGUUAAAAAAAAAAUUCUGCUAAUUUAAAGAGCAGUCUACUUCUUUCGAUAAUUCUUAUGGUGUACACAUGUACUAUGGGAGAGUAAUGUAUAUAGAUGACUAAAUCAUGAAAACAUCUUGAUUAUAUAUGGGUAUAUUUCUUGUCUUACACUGAAAAACGAUGUCAUUUUACUCACUUCAACACCUGUUCUUUGCUUCUUCCCACCAGUUUGUCUGUAUUUUCCACUGUUCUUGAUGACCUCUCUUUUUCCUCAUAUUUGUUGCACGAUUUAGUUUUUCACAUUUGCUGAAUACUAUAAUUCUUUUUGCAUUGUACACACCUUUCAUGGAGGUAUGUCUACACUGCAAAAAAAAAGUGUGUUCUUGACUUGAAUUAGUUUAUUCAGGUUAAAAUAGCAGUGAUGACACAGCAGCUUGACUUUUAACUCAGGUUAGUGACUUGAAUUAAAGGCUGUUGGGUAGCUACUAAUCCAAAUUAAAAGCAGAGAUGCUGUGUCUUCACUGGCAUUUUAAUGUGAGUUUGCUAACACAGGUUUGCACCCAAGUUAGGAACCUACCUUUUAUUUGCAAUGUAAAUAUACACUGGGGUAUGAUUGUAGUCACUAAAAUGUAAUCUAUAUUUUCUCUUUCAGAAAAAUUAAUACAUCU